UGCAGUCGACGAUGAGCUGGAGCUUGCUCCAGGGAUUAGUGGCGAACGGGUGAGUAACACGUGAGUAACCUGCCCUUGACUCUGGGAUAAGCGCUAGAAAUGGCGUCUAAUACCGGAUACGAGCUUCAGCCGCAUGGCUAGGAGUUGGAAAGAAUUUUGGUCAAGGAUGGACUCGCGGCCUAUCAGCUAGUUGGUGAGGUAAUGGCUCACCAAGGCGACGACGGGUAGCCGGCCUGAGAGGGUGACCGGCCACACUGGGACUGAGACACGGCCCAGACUCCUACGGGAGGCAGCAGUGGGGAAUAUUGCACAAUGGGCGAAAGCCUGAUGCAGCAACGCCGCGUGAGGGAUGACGGCCUUCGGGUUGUAAACCUCUUUUAGUAGGGAAGAAGCGAAAGUGACGGUACCUGCAGAAAAAGCACCGGCUAACUACGUGCCAGCAGCCGCGGUAAUACGUAGGGUGCAAGCGUUGUCCGGAAUUAUUGGGCGUAAAGAGCUCGUAGGCGGUUUGUCGCGUCUGCUGUGAAAUCUGGGGGCUCAACCCCCAGCCUGCAGUGGGUACGGGCAGACUAGAGUGCGGUAGGGGAGAUUGGAAUUCCUGGUGUAGCGGUGGAAUGCGCAGAUAUCAGGAGGAACACCGAUGGCGAAGGCAGAUCUCUGGGCCGUAACUGACGCUGAGGAGCGAAAGCAUGGGGAGCGAACAGGAUUAGAUACCCUGGUAGUCCAUGCCGUAAACGUUGGGAACUAGAUGUGGGGGCCAUUCCACGGUCUCGUGUCGCAGCUAACGCAUUAAGUUCCCCGCCUGGGGAGUACGGCCGCAAGGCUAAAACUCAAAGGAAUUGACGGGGGCCCGCACAAGCGCGGAGCAUGCGGAUUAAUUCGAUGCAACGCGAGAACCUUACCAAGGCUUGACAUAUACCGGGAAACGUCCAGAAGAUGGUCGC
This 944-nucleotide ribosomal RNA is filed under the name Frigoribacterium sp. Its description in RNAcentral is "bacterial SSU rRNA". It matches the Rfam family "Bacterial small subunit ribosomal RNA", at positions 56 to 1013 of the family's 1533-position model. Lineage: Bacteria; Bacillati; Actinomycetota; Actinomycetes; Micrococcales; Microbacteriaceae. The record is from RNAcentral.